Molecule: unclassified non-coding RNA, 184 nt
Filed under: plant metagenome
Description: partial contains small subunit ribosomal RNA and internal transcribed spacer 1
Rfam family: Eukaryotic small subunit ribosomal RNA (bases 1-46)
Source: RNAcentral
AAGUUGUAACAAGGUUUCUGUAGGUGAACCUACAGAAGGAUUAUUACUAUAGGGCUUUAGCCCUAUUAAGAUAGCACCCUUUGUUUAUAAGUACCCCUAUUUCCUUAGCGGGCUUGCCUGCUAGUAGGAUAUUAAAAACCCUUUGUAGUAGCAGUAACUUUAGUUAAAAAAUCAAAUAUUAAAA